CUACGGGUUGCACCAGUGGGGAAUAUUGCACAAUGGGCGCAAGCCUGAUGCAGCCAUGCCGCGUGUAUGAAGAAGGCCUUCGGGUUGUAAAGUACUUUCAGCGGGGAGGAAGGGAGUAAAGUUAAUACCUUUGCUCAUUGACGUUACCCGCAGAAGAAGCACCGGCUAACUCCGUGCCAGCAGCCGCGGUAAUACGGAGGGUGAAAGCGUUAAUCGGAAUUACUGGGCGUAAAGCGCACGCAGGCGGUUUGUUAAGUCAGAUGUGAAAUCCCCGGGCUCAACCUGGGAACUGCAUCUGGUACUGGGAAGCUUGAGUCUCGUAGAGGGGGGUAGAAUUCCAGGUGUAGCGGUGAAAUGCGUAGAGAUCUGGAGGAAUACCGGUGGCGAAGGCGGCCCCCUGGACGAAGACUGACGCUCAGGUGCGAAAGCGUGGGGAGCAAACAGGAUUAGAUACCCUGGUAGUC
Molecule: ribosomal RNA, 464 nt
Filed under: uncultured bacterium
Lineage: Bacteria
Description: partial 16S ribosomal RNA
Rfam family: Bacterial small subunit ribosomal RNA
Source: RNAcentral